UAAGCGGAGGAAAAGAAAUUAACUAAGAUUGCCUCAGUAACGGCGAGUGAAGCGGCAAAAGCCCAAAAUGUAAAUCUUGUGCACUACGUGUACACGAAUUGUAAUCUAGAGAGAGUUCACUCAACGGGCGGGGGCGCAGAAGUGACCACGAACGGUCCGCCAGAGAGGGUGAAAGCCCCGUAUGUGGUGUCCCUGCUUAACGAGUGGGUUUUCGAAGAGUCGGGUUGUUUUGUAUUGCAGCCCUAAGUGGGAGAUAAACUUCUUCUAAGGCUAAAUAUUUAUGGGAAACCGAUAGCGAACAAGUACUGUGAAGGAAAGAUGAAAAGAACUUUGAAAAGAGAGUCAAAAGACUUGAAAUCGUUGAGAAGGAAGGGGUAGAAAUUUAUUCUUCGGCGUAGACCGGUGGUAGUCGCCUAACCAUUGCUGUUUGUGAGUACGUCAAAGGCUCCGGAUAGUACCUGGGGAAGUGGCUGCUUUGGUCUGCGUCGUGAGGCAAGAUGGGGUCGUGCGGCCACAAAGGCUUCUUUCAAAUCGCUGCCUUCGGGCGGCAGUGGGAGUGUGCCGGUGGAAGCGCGGCCUGAGGAUGCUUCGGCGAUCUUGCCAAAAUGGUUUUUACCCACCCGUCUUGAAACACGGACCAAGGAGUCUAAC
Molecule: ribosomal RNA, 651 nt
Filed under: Laurentiella strenua
Lineage: Eukaryota; Ciliophora; Spirotrichea; Sporadotrichida; Oxytrichidae
Description: LSU rRNA
Rfam family: Eukaryotic large subunit ribosomal RNA
Source: RNAcentral